GUCUCGUUAGAUUAACCCAAUAAAUUUCAUUCACUCCGCAUACUCAAUCCUAUAGAUACCCUUUUAAUUCUUCAUCACAGACGUAACUCGAUUUCACAAAACAGUCAAGAGUAAUCAAACCCACUUCAUUAAAAAUCCCGAUUCACCAUUACAACACUGACUUCAGCAACGAUUGCCUCAGUCUUCCCAAAAUCCUAUGAAGAAAAAAAACCCAAUUCUCUGUCUUCUUUCCCCGCCCAAAGCAUGAAGCUA
Molecule: long non-coding RNA, 252 nt
Filed under: Physcomitrium patens
Lineage: Eukaryota; Viridiplantae; Streptophyta; Bryopsida; Funariales; Funariaceae
Description: long non-coding RNA (PPAT_LNC013329)
Source: RNAcentral